This 253-nucleotide ribosomal RNA is filed under the name uncultured bacterium. RNAcentral's name for it is "partial 16S ribosomal RNA". It matches the Rfam family "Bacterial small subunit ribosomal RNA", at positions 57 to 305 of the family's 1533-position model. The record is from RNAcentral.
GCAAGUCGAACGGUAGAAAGGUGCUUGCACCUUUUGAGAGUGGCGAACGGGUGAGUAACACGUAAGUAAUCUGCCUGGAAAUUGGGGAUAGCCUGUGGAAACACAGGGUAAUACCGAAUACGCCUUAUAAUGGGGACAUUAUAAGGGAAAGGGGCUAAGGCCUCGUUUCCAGAUGAGCUUGCGGUUCAUUAGCUAGUUGGUGGGGUAAAGGCCUACCAAGGCGACGAUGAAUAGCCGGCCUGAGAGGGUGACC